UAAAGAUUUUAAGGGCGUACGGUGGAUGCCUUGGCGAUAUCAGCCGAAGAAGGACGCGGUAAGCUGCGAUAAGCUACGGAGAGGUGCAAGCAACCUGUGACCCGUAGAUAUCCGAAUGGGGGAACCCGGCAGUGGUUAUGCACUGUCAACCAUCGCUUCGACUAUGAGGAGGGCACCCGGGGAACUGAAACAUCUAAUUACCCGGAGGAAAAGUAAUCAAACGAGAUUUUCUUAGUAGCGGCGAGCGAAAUGGAAAGAGGCCAAACCGGAGCGGGCAACCGCACCGGGGUUGAGGACAGUCAUCAAGUGUAAAUGAGGUAGAAGAAUCGAGUUGGAAAGCUCAGCCGCAGAAGGUGAAAGCCCUGUAAUCGAAACCUUGCAUACAUGGGACUGUAUCCAGAGUACCACGAGACACGUGAAACCUUGUGGGAAGCAGGGGGGACCACCCUCCAAGCCAAAAUACUGAUAUCGACCGAUAGCGCAUAGUACCGUGAGGGAAAGGUGAAAAGAACCCCUGGCGGGGAGUGAAAGAGAACCUGAAACCGUAUGUCUACAAACAGUCGAAGUCUGUAUAUAUAUCAGGACGACGGCGUGCCUAUUGAAGAAUGAACCGACGAGUUACUGUUGCUAGCGAGGUUAAGUGGAAAACAUGGAGCCGCAGCGAAAGCGAGUCUGAACAGGGCGUUCAGUUAGUGAUAGUAGACCCGAAACCGUAGUGAUCUAUCCAUGGCCAGGUUGAAGCACAGGUAAAAUUGUGUGGAGGACCGAACUCGUGAGCGUUGAAAAGCUUUGGGAUGAGUUGUGGAUAGGGGUGAAAUGCCAAUCGAACGCGGAGAUAGCUGGUUCUCCCCGAAAUAGCUUUAGGGCUAGCCUCGAGGUUGAGAGUAUAGGCGGUAGAGCACUGAUCGGGCUAGGGGCCAUACCGGUUACCGAACCUAGUCAAACUACGAAUGGCUAUACUUAUACUCGGGAGUCAGACAGUGAAUGAUAAGGUCCAUUGUCAAGAGGGAAACAGCCCAGAACACCGACUAAGGUCCCAAAUGUUACACUAAGUGGCGAAGGAUGUGGAAUUUCCAAAACAACCAGGAUGUUGGCUUAGAAGCAGCCACCAUUUAAAGAGUGCGUAAUAGCUCACUGGUCGAGAGACUCUGCGCCGAAAAUGUCCGGGGCUAAAGUGUAAAACCGAAGUCGUGUCAUAUGCAGCAAUGUAUAUGGGUAGGGGAGCGUUCUCAUCGGGCUGAAGCAGUACCGUAAGGAGUUGUGGACUGAUGAGAAGUGAGAAUGUCGGUAUGAGUAGCGAAAAGAAUGGUGAGAAUCCAUUCCACCGAAAGCCUAAGGGUUCCUGAGCAACGAUCGUCGUCUCAGGGUAAGUCGGGACCUAAGCCGAGGCGGAAAAGCGUAGGCGAUGGACAACAGGUUGAAAUUCCUGUACCGGUGUGAAUCGUUUGAUCGAUGGAGUGACACAGUAAGGUAGGUCAGCACGCGAUUGGAAGAGCGUGUUUAAGCAGGUAGGUUGAGCUAUAGGCAAAUCCGUAGCUCUAAAAGCUGAGAUGUGAUGACGAGCUGUUUACAGCGAAGUGAUUGAUCCUACACUGUCGAGAAAAGCUUCUAGGUAGAGACACAUCGCCCGUACCAAAACCGACACAGGUAGGCGGGGAGAGAAUCCUAAGGUGCGCGGGAAAACCCUCGUUAAGGAACUCGGCAAAAUGCCUCCGUAACUUCGGGAAAAGGAGGACUCAUGUAGUGUGAAGAGCAGAAGCGCUUGGAGCAUGAAUGAGUGGCACAAGAGAGGCGCAAGCGACUGUUUACCAUAAACACAGGUGCCUGCUAAAGCGAAAGCUGACGUAUAGGUGCUGACACCUGCCCGGUGCUGGAAGGUUAAGAGGAGGGGUUAGACUUCGGUCGAAGCUCUGAAUUGAAGCCCCAGUAAACGGCGGCCGUAACUAUAACGGUCCUAAGGUAGCGAAAUUCCUUGUCGGGUAAGUUCC
This 1988-nucleotide ribosomal RNA is filed under the name human gut metagenome. RNAcentral describes it as "bacterial LSU rRNA". It matches the Rfam family "Bacterial large subunit ribosomal RNA", at positions 1 to 1984 of the family's 2925-position model. The record is from RNAcentral.